RNAcentral lists this ribosomal RNA (360 nucleotides) under uncultured bacterium. Its description in RNAcentral is "bacterial SSU rRNA". It matches the Rfam family "Bacterial small subunit ribosomal RNA", at positions 28 to 389 of the family's 1533-position model. The record is from RNAcentral.
GACGAACGCUGGCGGCGUGCUUAACACAUGCAAGUCGAGCGGUAAGGCCCUUUCGGGGGUACACGAGCGGCGAACGGGUGAGUAACACGUGGGUGACCUGCCCUCAGCUCUGGGAUAAGCCUGGGAAACUGGGUCUAAUACCGGAUAUGACUCCAUGACGCAUGUUGUGGGGUGGAAAGCCUUGUGCGGCUGAGGAUGGGCCCGCGGCCUAUCAGCUUGUUGGGGGGUGAUGGCCUACCAAGGCGACGACGGGUAGCCGGCCUGAGAGGGGCGACCGGCCACACUGGGACUGAGACACGGCCCAGACUCCUACGGGAGGCAGCAGUGGGGAAUCUUGCGCAAUGGGCGAAAGCCUGACGC